UUAGGAAUCUUGCGCAAUGGGCGAAAGCCUGACGCAGCAACGCCGCGUGCGGGAUGAAGGCCUUCGGGUUGUAAACCGCUUUCAGUGGGGACGAAAUUGACGGUACCCACAGAAGAAGCUCCGGCUAACUACGUG
This 135-nucleotide ribosomal RNA is filed under the name uncultured Thermomonosporaceae bacterium. Its description in RNAcentral is "partial 16S rRNA". It matches the Rfam family "Bacterial small subunit ribosomal RNA", at positions 355 to 507 of the family's 1533-position model. Lineage: Bacteria; Bacillati; Actinomycetota; Actinomycetes; Streptosporangiales; Thermomonosporaceae. The record is from RNAcentral.